Molecule: ribosomal RNA, 301 nt
Filed under: uncultured bacterium
Lineage: Bacteria
Description: partial 16S ribosomal RNA
Rfam family: Bacterial small subunit ribosomal RNA
Source: RNAcentral
CAGCCGCCACGGUAAUACGGAGGGAGCUAGCGUUGUUCGGAAUUACUGGGCGUAAAGCGCGCGUAGGCGGUUACUCAAGUCAGAGGUGAAAGCCCGGGGCUCAACCCCGGAACUGCCUUUGAAACUAGGUGACUAGAAUCUUGGAGAGGUCAGUGGAAUUCCGAGUGUAGAGGUGAAAUUCGUAGAUAUUCGGAAGAACACCAGUGGCGAAGGCGACUGACUGGACAAGUAUUGACGCUGAGGUGCGAAAGCGUGGGGAGCAAACAGGAUUAGAUACUCCCGUAGUCCCUGUCUCUUAUAC